RNAcentral lists this ribosomal RNA (2564 nucleotides) under Klebsiella variicola. RNAcentral's name for it is "partial 23S ribosomal RNA". It matches the Rfam family "Bacterial large subunit ribosomal RNA", at positions 378 to 2925 of the family's 2925-position model. Lineage: Bacteria; Pseudomonadati; Pseudomonadota; Gammaproteobacteria; Enterobacterales; Enterobacteriaceae. The record is from RNAcentral. RNAcentral also lists the same sequence under 1 other name.
CACCAAAAUGCACAGGCUGUGAACUCGAAGAGUAGGGCGGGACACGUGGUAUCCUGUCUGAAUAUGGGGGGACCAUCCUCCAAGGCUAAAUACUCCUGACUGACCGAUAGUGAACCAGUACCGUGAGGGAAAGGCGAAAAGAACCCCGGCGAGGGGAGUGAAAAAGAACCUGAAACCGUGUACGUACAAGCAGUGGGAGCACCUUCGGGUGUGACUGCGUACCUUUUGUAUAAUGGGUCAGCGACUUAUAUUCUGUAGCAAGGUUAACCGUAUAGGGGAGCCGCAGGGAAACCGAGUCUUAACUGGGCGUUAAGUUGCAGGGUAUAGACCCGAAACCCGGUGAUCUAGCCAUGGGCAGGUUGAAGGUUGGGUAACACUAACUGGAGGACCGAACCGACUAAUGUUGAAAAAUUAGCGGAUGACUUGUGGCUGGGGGUGAAAGGCCAAUCAAACCGGGAGAUAGCUGGUUCUCCCCGAAAGCUAUUUAGGUAGCGCCUCGUGAAUUCAUCUUCGGGGGUAGAGCACUGUUUCGGCUAGGGGGUCAUCCCGACUUACCAACCCGAUGCAAACUACGAAUACCGAAGAAUGUUAUCACGGGAGACACACGGCGGGUGCUAACGUCCGUCGUGAAGAGGGAAACAACCCAGACCGCCAGCUAAGGUCCCAAAGUCAUGGUUAAGUGGGAAACGAUGUGGGAAGGCACAGACAGCCAGGAUGUUGGCUUAGAAGCAGCCAUCAUUUAAAGAAAGCGUAAUAGCUCACUGGUCGAGUCGGCCUGCGCGGAAGAUGUAACGGGGCUAAACCAUGCACCGAAGCUGCGGCAGCGACACUAUGUGUUGUUGGGUAGGGGAGCGUUCUGUAAGCCUGCGAAGGUGGCCUGUGAGGGUUGCUGGAGGUAUCAGAAGUGCGAAUGCUGACAUAAGUAACGAUAAAGCGGGUGAAAAGCCCGCUCGCCGGAAGACCAAGGGUUCCUGUCCAACGUUAAUCGGGGCAGGGUGAGUCGACCCCUAAGGCGAGGCCGAAAGGCGUAGUCGAUGGGAAACAGGUUAAUAUUCCUGUACUUGGUGUUACUGCGAAGGGGGGACGGAGAAGGCUAUGUUAGCCGGGCGACGGUUGUCCCGGUUUAAGCAUGUAGGCGGAGGUUCCAGGUAAAUCCGGUACCUUUUAACGCUGAGGUGUGAUGACGAGGCACUACGGUGCUGAAGUAACAAAUGCCCUGCUUCCAGGAAAAGCCUCUAAGCAUCAGGUAACAUUAAAUCGUACCCCAAACCGACACAGGUGGUCAGGUAGAGAAUACCAAGGCGCUUGAGAGAACUCGGGUGAAGGAACUAGGCAAAAUGGUGCCGUAACUUCGGGAGAAGGCACGCUGGUGUGUAGGUGAAGCCCCUGCGGGUGGAGCUGAGACCAGUCGAAGAUACCAGCUGGCUGCAACUGUUUAUUAAAAACACAGCACUGUGCAAACACGAAAGUGGACGUAUACGGUGUGACGCCUGCCCGGUGCCGGAAGGUUAAUUGAUGGGGUUAUCCGUAAGGAGAAGCUCUUGAUCGAAGCCCCGGUAAACGGCGGCCGUAACUAUAACGGUCCUAAGGUAGCGAAAUUCCUUGUCGGGUAAGUUCCGACCUGCACGAAUGGCGUAAUGAUGGCCAGGCUGUCUCCACCCGAGACUCAGUGAAAUUGAACUCGCUGUGAAGAUGCAGUGUACCCGCGGCAAGACGGAAAGACCCCGUGAACCUUUACUAUAGCUUGACACUGAACAUUGAGCCUUGAUGUGUAGGAUAGGUGGGAGGCUUUGAAGCGUGGACGCCAGUCUGCGUGGAGCCAACCUUGAAAUACCACCCUUUAAUGUUUGAUGUUCUAACGUUGGCCCCUUAUCGGGGUUGCGGACAGUGUCUGGUGGGUAGUUUGACUGGGGCGGUCUCCUCCCAAAGAGUAACGGAGGAGCACGAAGGUUAGCUAAUCCUGGUCGGACAUCAGGAGGUUAGUGCAAUGGCAUAAGCUAGCUUGACUGCGAGCGUGACGGCGCGAGCAGGUGCGAAAGCAGGUCAUAGUGAUCCGGUGGUUCUGAAUGGAAGGGCCAUCGCUCAACGGAUAAAAGGUACUCCGGGGAUAACAGGCUGAUACCGCCCAAGAGUUCAUAUCGACGGCGGUGUUUGGCACCUCGAUGUCGGCUCAUCACAUCCUGGGGCUGAAGUAGGUCCCAAGGGUAUGGCUGUUCGCCAUUUAAAGUGGUACGCGAGCUGGGUUUAGAACGUCGUGAGACAGUUCGGUCCCUAUCUGCCGUGGGCGCUGGAGAAUUGAGGGGGGCUGCUCCUAGUACGAGAGGACCGGAGUGGACGCAUCACUGGUGUUCGGGUUGUCAUGCCAAUGGCACUGCCCGGUAGCUAAAUGCGGAAGAGAUAAGUGCUGAAAGCAUCUAAGCACGAAACUUGCCCCGAGAUGAGUUCUCCCUGAGACUUUAAGUCUCCUGAAGGAACGUUGAAGACGACGACGUUGAUAGGCCGGGUGUGUAAGCGCAGCGAUGCGUUGAGCUAACCGGUACUAAUGAACCGUGAGGCUUAACCUU